This 1690-nucleotide ribosomal RNA is filed under the name Ralstonia solanacearum. RNAcentral's name for it is "bacterial LSU rRNA". It matches the Rfam family "Bacterial large subunit ribosomal RNA", at positions 96 to 1828 of the family's 2925-position model. The record is from RNAcentral. Lineage: Bacteria; Pseudomonadati; Pseudomonadota; Betaproteobacteria; Burkholderiales; Burkholderiaceae.
GCUUUGAUCGCGCAGAUGUCCGAAUGGGGAAACCCGGCCCGAAUGGGUCAUCUGUUACUGAAUUCAUAGGUAACAGAGGCGAACGCAGUGAACUGAAACAUCUAAGUAGCUGCAGGAAAAGAAAUCAACCGAGAUUCCCAAAGUAGUGGCGAGCGAAAUGGGAUCAGCCUUGUACUCUUUAGCAGUAUUGUUAGCAAAACGGAAUGGAAAGUCCGGCCAUAGUGGGUGAUAGCCCCGUAUGCGAAAACAGUAUUGUGGAACUAGGUGUACGACAAGUAGGGCGGGACACGUGAAAUCCUGUCUGAAGAUGGGGGGACCAUCCUCCAAGGCUAAAUACUCGUGAUCGACCGAUAGUGAACCAGUACCGUGAGGGAAAGGCGAAAAGAACCCCGGGAGGGGAGUGAAAUAGAUCCUGAAACCGCAUGCAUACAAACAGUCGGAGCCUGGAAACGGGUGACGGCGUACCUUUUGUAUAAUGGGUCAGCGACUUACAUUCAGUGGCAAGCUUAACCGAUUAGGGAAGGCGUAGCGAAAGCGAGUCCGAAUAGGGCGUUCAGUCGCUGGGUGUAGACCCGAAACCAAGUGAUCUAUCCAUGGCCAGGUUGAAGGUGCGGUAACACGUACUGGAGGACCGAACCCACUAACGUUGAAAAGUUAGGGGAUGAGCUGUGGAUAGGGGUGAAAGGCUAAACAAACUUGGAAAUAGCUGGUUCUCUCCGAAAACUAUUUAGGUAGUGCCUCGUGUCUCACCUUCGGGGGUAGAGCACUGUCAUGGUUGGGGGGUCUAUUGCUGAUUACCCCGCCAUAGCAAACUCCGAAUACCGAAGAGUGCAAUCACGGGAGACAGACAUCGGGUGCUAACGUCCGGUGUCAAGAGGGAAACAACCCAGACCGCCAGCUAAGGUCCCUAAGAUUGGCUAAGUGGGAAACGAAGUGGGAAGGCUAAAACAGUCAGGAGGUUGGCUUAGAAGCAGCCACCCUUUAAAGAAAGCGUAAUAGCUCACUGAUCGAGUCGUCCUGCGCGGAAGAUGUAACGGGGCUAAGCCAGUCACCGAAGCUGCGGAUGCACGUAAGUGCAUGGUAGGAGAGCGUUCUGUAAGCCUGUGAAGGUGUCUUGUGAAGGAUGCUGGAGGUAUCAGAAGUGCGAAUGCUGACAUGAGUAGCGAUAAAGGGGGUGAAAGGCCCCCUCGCCGUAAGCCCAAGGUUUCCUACGCAACGUUCAUCGGCGUAGGGUGAGUCGGCCCCUAAGGCGAGGCAGAGAUGCGUAGCUGAUGGGAAGCAGGUUAAUAUUCCUGCACCGUCGUAUGAUGCGAUGGGGGGACGGAUCGCGGAAGGUUGUCCGGGUGUUGGAUGUCCCGGUCCCUACAUUGGAGAUGGCACUUAGGCAAAUCCGGGUGCGUGAUUCAAGGGUGUGGGGCGAGCGACUUUAGGUCGCGAAGCAAUUGGAAGUGGUUCCAAGAAAAGCCUCUAAGCUUCAGUCAUACGAGACCGUACCGCAAACCGACACAGGUGGGCGAGAUGAGUAUUCUAAGGCGCUUGAGAGAACUCGGGAGAAGGAACUCGGCAAAUUGGUACCGUAACUUCGGGAUAAGGUACGCCCUUGUAGUUUGACUGGCUCGCGCCAGAGGGACGAAGGGGUUGCAAUAAAAUGGUGGCUGCGACUGUUUAAUAAAAACACAGCACUCUGCAA